RNAcentral lists this long non-coding RNA (1065 nucleotides) under Astyanax mexicanus (Mexican tetra). RNAcentral describes it as "lncRNA (ENSAMXG00005012052.1)". The record is from RNAcentral. Lineage: Eukaryota; Metazoa; Chordata; Actinopteri; Characiformes; Acestrorhamphidae.
CUACAUUCUAUAUAUUUGUAUUGUUUGCAUACAUUGUUGCUUUUACCUGUAUAUCUAUUGUCAUUGUGAUGUGACAAUAAACCUGAUUUAAUCUGAUUUAACAUUUUAAUAGCAAACUGUUGACUUUUGUCUAUUCCAACACAGUAACCAUCUACAUAGAAAUUCAGAAUAGAUUUGGAUCAUCUACCAAACCCUGUCCUGUUCCUGUAACAGUCUUGCCAAGCUUCCAGAGAACAUCAUCCUCUAAUCCAGAUCAGGAGCUGUAAGUAUCAGAAAUCCUGUUUUACAGUAGAGCACUGAAAAUGGAUGAAAGCUCUGAUUUACACAGUUCUUCACUCAUUAGAUUACCCCAAAUUCAGUUAAUCUUACAAGAUAUGUUUAUUGUCUUAUACGCUUUGGAGAAAAAAGACAAACUAAAUUCAAGCUUCUCUGUAUUCAAGCUUCUCUGCUCUUUUUUUAAGCAACAUGCUUUUUUAUAUGUUUAUUAUGCAGACAACAGAAGUCUAACUUGUCUUGGUUGGUCAUCUACAAUUAGGGGAAAGUUAUAACUAUAAAUAAUAGGAUUUUUAUCUUUCUUUAAGAGUUAUGGAAUGUUUUUUUUUCCCAGGUUGCUGCACGGACUUGGUAAUGUAACUAACCUGAUGCUGAUGAAGAGUAGCAGAGACCUCGUUAAUUACGUCUCUCUCCUCACUGUGGUGUUGAACCGGCUGAGUUUGGAUGUAGACUCUUCUGUGAAACUGCAGACUCACACGCGCAGUGCCCUCAUUUCAGCAGUUUGUCAGCUGACUGUCACCAACCAGAUUCUGUUCCUUGAUAUCCUGCUCAUUCUUGCAGAUCUUUUAAAAAUUUCCAAUCAAGUGAGUAAAAUGUGAUUGCUUUUCCUGACCAAAUAAUAUGUUGUAAUCCCAUCUUUCCAGAAUAACAAUGCUAAUAAUUUUCUAUGGCAAUGUCUUUUGUAGGUCACAUUUGACAGCACCAAACUAGUCAUAAAAUACAUUGAUCAUCUUUCAUCAGACUCAUUAAUGAAACACAUGUUGGAUGUGAAUACAGUGAAAGAUAUUUUGG